Scylla paramamosain (green mud crab) is the source of this 1673-nucleotide long non-coding RNA. RefSeq lists it as uncharacterized. Lineage: Eukaryota; Metazoa; Arthropoda; Malacostraca; Decapoda; Portunidae. The transcript is spliced from 3 exons. The record is from RefSeq and is a predicted model, not a curated record.
GGAUUUUCACAACAGGAGGAGAACAUCACAGAAAUAAACACGACGAGGCGUGAUCCGAAGCUGUGUUGGUGCUCCGAUCAUAAGAGUGAGACGGUCGCGGCGCUCAGUCAGUCCUGCCACCAGUCACCGCUCAGCCUCGGAUGGCAAGGGGCACACGCUUACCUUUCCGACCCGGGUAUCCCCCUUAUCUUUCAUUAGUGAUGAUUCUGUGACGCCUCUGGACGGCUGUGUGUCCCUGGCAUUCCUGCAACACACAUACAGACACCUUCAUUGACCACAGGAUUGACCGGACUCAGUUAAAUUGUACCGUGUGCGGCGUUGCGGUUCAUUACACCUGUCACAACGAGCGGCGCCAUCAGGCCACCACACACACACACACACACACACAGAGAGCAGCAGCAGCACCAGGAUCGGGUGAGCGGAGCCAGACCUUCCCAUCACCAGCAGGUCAAAUGAAGGAAAGAGUUUUAAGUGCAGAAAAGUGAAAAUGUUUCAGAUAAAGUGAAGGAACACAAGUGAAAUGUUCGGAAAGUGUAAUCUGACAAAGAAAGGGCAGGAAGAAAGAAUGAAGAGGGCAAGGCGCAGCGGUACAGAAGGCAGGGACCAAGGAAGGAUUCGAAUCAAGUUUCCAACAAGAACGAGGAGGAGGAGGAGAAAGGAAACCGGAACAAGGAGACAUGAAAGUUGGCGGUGCGUGUGGCUGUGGUGAGCGGCGGCGGCGGCGACGGCGGUGGCGGCGACGACGACGACGACGACGACGACGUGUGGCGUGGCGAGCGGGUUUCUGCAGUAUCCCUCUCCUUCCCGUUUUCUGUUAUUCCCCGUUCUCUUCCUCCGCCUAGUGUACUGCUACUCGCUCUUGUACGGUGACUUUUUUUUUUUUCCUUCGUUACAAUAUUUUGUCUGUUUUCUCUUUUCUUUUCUUCUCGUGCUUUUUAUUCACAUUAUUAUUUCUUAUUCUAUUUUGUUUAUUUUGUGUGUUUGUACGUGUGUAUUUUCCUCUUCCACAUUUUAUUUGGAUUUUCUUAAUUUUUCUCGUAUUUUUCUAUUCUCCUAUUCUUCCUUGUAUCACACACACACACACACACACACCGCGUAGUGUAGUGGUUGUUAGCACGCUCGGCUCACAACCAAGAAGGCCUGGGUUCGAAUCCCGGGAGCGACGAGGCAAAUGGGUGAGCCUCUUAAUGUGUAGCCCCUGUUCACCUAGUAGCAAGUAGGUAAGGGAUGUAACCCGAGGGGUUGUGACCUCGCUGUUUCGGUGUGUGGUCACACACAUACACACACACACUUCAUCGUCUCUUACUACCGAUGCCGUUGCUAUGACAAGUAUUUUAUAUUAAAUGAAUUUAUUAUUUAUUAAUUUAUUCGCUUAUUAUUAUUAUUAUUAUUAUUAUUAUUAUUAUUAUUAUUAAAUAAUUUGCAUAUUUAUUUAUCUACAUAUAUUAUUUAUCUACAUAUAUUAUUUUUAUUUUAUUAUUAUUAUUAUUAUUUAUUUUAUUUAUUUAUUUUUAUUUUUGUGUGUGUGUCGGGGAUGAGUUUUACAGCUCUCAUCGCAAGUUGUAUUAAAAUUCAAUAGCCACAUUUGCUCGCUCGUGUAUAUAUUGUUUAGUGUUAUCAGCGGUUCUUAAGAAACAGGAUUUUAAGAGAUUAUAAACUUUACGUGAUAUUAA